Molecule: non-coding RNA, 75 nt
Organism: Myotis davidii
Lineage: Eukaryota; Metazoa; Chordata; Mammalia; Chiroptera; Vespertilionidae
Source: Rfam
GGCGGUUCUCAGGUGACACACCCCACAAUCGGGCUCUCUCCUCUCUGGUUCUGGGUGUGUCACCCAAGAACUACA